This 1769-nucleotide long non-coding RNA is filed under the name Calidris pygmaea (Spoon-billed sandpiper). Its description in RNAcentral is "lncRNA (ENSCPGG00000000007.1)". Lineage: Eukaryota; Metazoa; Chordata; Aves; Charadriiformes; Scolopacidae. The record is from RNAcentral.
AGAUAAUUUUAUAAAUGAAUAUGAACAUUCCAAUUUGUCUUUUCUGUGUGGAAUGCAAAAAGCAAAGAAGUACAAAGGUACCAAGAGUCCAGGAGUCUUUGAGAGGUUGUACUGCUGUUUCAGCGCUUCCAGUGAUCCACUUCUGUGCAUGUACUCUUUGAUUUUACUUUCAUAGUGUUUGAUAGAUUGUGGUGGGUGAGGCAUCGUUGGAAGGUACUGUACUGUGACAUGGUUUUGGCAAAAUAUGAUCUGGGUGAAAAUAAAUAGUGGUAUUUAUCAGUGUAAUGCUACCAAAAGUUCUUUUUGCAUUGACAGGUAGAUCCACUUGUUUAUAAGAAAACCAGCCAUGUUAAUUUUUAAUCUCUGAAAGAUUUAAUGAUUUACACUUUAUUCCUUUGAAAGUAGUACUAAACUGGUUCUUUCUGCAUCAAGAAUGGCAUUUGAGAUAGUGGAGUGUUUUAUUUCCUCCCACGAUUUUGUUUGUUUGCAAUAGAGAAUGAUUUAGCCUAUAGCUAAUAGAGAUAAGAAUUAGUGAUAACCAGUCUGACUUCGCCAGGGUACUUGGAUAACUCCACUGGAAGCAUGUAGUUCAAACCUUUUUAACUGAUUACAUUAGAUAAGCAGACAUCAGAAAGGUUUUAUAUAUGAUCUUUAAAAAGUAUGCUAACUUGAUACAGUAUUAACGAUGUCAUUAAGAUUGUUAAAAAAACAAUGGGUUUCAAUAUGUUUGUAUCUUAUCAGUUACAAUAAUCUGCUUUCUUCAGAUGCAGAUGUUAAAUCAAGCUCAAAAUGUGGAUCUUGAACAAUUUGCUUUUAGACCUAAAUCUUUGUUGCCAGCAUUGUCAAGAUGCUUUGGAUGUGGACUUUGAACUGAGAGAUGAUGUUUGGGAUGAUAUUGAUGAUGAGAAAUUAGUACUAGCUAGCAACUUUGCCAGUAGAGAAUUAGAUGAGUGUGAACCACUUUGCCAGUACACAAGAAGCAAAGCCACAAAUGACAUUUCAAAACAUUCAUGCACAUUACAAGAUGAGACCAAUAUUCAGAACUCAUUUGUUUCUGUGGGUAAUAGCACAUCAAAAAUGAAUUUACCAGUACAGAGUGGAAAUAUAAAUAUGUUCAGUUUUCAAGAAAAAAAACAUUCAAGUCCUUCACAAGAGCUGAAAAACAUACAGUGUUCUUCAAUCUCAAAAAUAAUGUCAGACUCUUCAAAAUUAACUAGGAAGGAGGAUUUCUUUAUUUUCACAAAAGAACAGGAAAAAGAAGUGGAUCCCAGAUAUCUUCUUGAUGAUGAAAUCAAUGAUGUCAAGCCCUUUCUUGGAAUAUUUGAUGGCAUUUUAUAAAACAUAUAAACAAAAUACAUAGUAAGUGCUGGGAGAAGAAAUGUAGUAAUUUUUACAGAGUGAAGCCUUUAAAUCUAGUUAAGAGAAUUUUAUUUCUGUUAUAUACCUAUUUAUUAAUAGCUGGAUUGCUGCAUAGAGUAGAUAAUAACAAAAUUGAUGUCUAAUUGACAGAAUUCUGGGUAUAUUAUCUUCUUUGGAAAAGUGCUUAAAUAUUUGUUUGUUGACCUUGCUGUUUUCAGGAUUACAAAGAAAAAUACUGGAAUGUGUUAAAGGAGAAUAGUUCUGAAACUGAGGGUGCUUUUAUGGACAAAGUAAAAAUCACAUAAGGGAAAGUAAACUGUUUAUUACAUGUCCUGCUCACAAGUGCUCUUUAAAUGAAUGAAGGACUCUUUCCUAAUAAAUUUCUUAAUGCUUUUUGGUUUUGUCUUUCA